RNAcentral lists this transfer RNA (69 nucleotides) under Aquarana catesbeiana (American bullfrog). RNAcentral describes it as "Lithobates catesbeianus (American bullfrog) tRNA-Arg". It matches the Rfam family "tRNA". From Rfam's summary of the family: Transfer RNA (tRNA) molecules are approximately 80 nucleotides in length. Their secondary structure includes four short double-helical elements and three loops (D, anti-codon, and T loops). The record is from RNAcentral. Lineage: Eukaryota; Metazoa; Chordata; Amphibia; Anura; Ranidae.
GGGGCACUAGUCCAAGAAAGACAGUUGAUUUCGACUCAACUAAUUAUGGUUUAAAUCCAUAGUACCCCU